UUUGUAUAAUGGGUCAGCGACUUAUAUUCAGUGGCAAGGUUAACCAUCUAGGGGAGCCGUAGGGAAACCGAGUCUUAACUGGGCGUUCAGUCUCUGGAUAUAGACCCGAAACCAGGUGAUCUAGCCAUGGGCAGGUUGAAGGUUGAGUAACAUCAACUGGAGGACCGAACCGACUAAUGUUGAAAAAUUAGCGGAUGACUUGUGGCUAGGGGUGAAAGGCCAAUCAAACCUGGAGAUAGCUGGUUCUCCCCGAAAGCUAUUUAGGUAGCGCCUCGGACGAAUACUACUGGGGGUAGAGCACUGUUAAGGCUAGGGGGUCAUCCCGACUUACCAACCCUUUGCAAACUCCGAAUACCAGUAAGUACUAUCCGGGAGACACACGGCGGGUGCUAACGUCCGUCGUGGAGAGGGAAACAACCCAGACCGCCAGCUAAGGUCCCAAAUUACUACUAAGUGGGAAACGAUGUGGGAAGGCUCAGACAGCCAGGAUGUUGGCUUAGAAGCAGCCAUCAUUUAAAGAAAGCGUAAUAGCUCACUGGUCGAGUCGGCCUGCGCGGAAGAUGUAACGGGGCUAAGUAGUAAACCGAAGCUGCGGCAAUGUGCUUUUGCACAUUGGGUAGGGGAGCGUUCUGUAAGCGGUUGAAGGUGUGUGGUAACGCAUGCUGGACGUAUCAGAAGUGCGAAUGCUGACAUGAGUAACGAUAAAGGGGGUGAAAAACCUCCUCGCCGGAAGACCAAGGGUUCCUGUCCAACGUUAAUCGGGGCAGGGUAAGUCGACCCCUAAGGCGAGGCCGAAAGGCGUAGUCGAUGGGAAACGGGUUAAUAUUCCCGUACUUCUUACAAUUGCGAUGGGGGGACGGAGAAGGCUAGGUGGGCCUGGCGACGGUUGUCCAGGUUCAAGUGCGUAGGCUUAAGAGUUAGGUAAAUCCGGCUCUUUUUAAGGCUGAGACACGACGUCGAGCUACUACGGUAGUGAAGUCAUUGAUGCCAUGCUUCCAGGAAAAGCCUCUAAGCUUCAGAUUGUAAGGAAUCGUACCCCAAACCGACACAGGUGGUCGGGUAGAGAAUACCAAGGCGCUUGAGAGAACUCGGGUGAAGGAACUAGGCAAAAUGGUACCGUAACUUCGGGAGAAGGUAC
Molecule: ribosomal RNA, 1138 nt
Filed under: Vibrio parahaemolyticus
Lineage: Bacteria; Pseudomonadati; Pseudomonadota; Gammaproteobacteria; Vibrionales; Vibrionaceae
Description: partial 23S ribosomal RNA
Rfam family: Bacterial large subunit ribosomal RNA
Source: RNAcentral